GAAGUCCACUAGGGGCGCCUCUUUAAGAGGCUGAGAUAAGGUUAGUAGCCUUGGUCCCUUUGAACCUGAUCUGGUUAGUACCAGCGAAGGGAAGUGGAGUCGGUUGGCU
This 109-nucleotide non-coding RNA is filed under the name Pontibacillus yanchengensis. Its description in RNAcentral is "TPP sequence". It matches the Rfam family "TPP riboswitch aptamer (THI element)". From Rfam's summary of the family: Vitamin B(1) in its active form thiamin pyrophosphate (TPP) is an essential coenzyme that is synthesised by coupling of pyrimidine and thiazole moieties in bacteria. The previously detected thiamin-regulatory element, thi box was extended, resulting in a new, highly conserved RNA secondary structure, the THI element, which is widely distributed in eubacteria and also occurs in some archaea. Lineage: Bacteria; Bacillati; Bacillota; Bacilli; Caryophanales; Bacillaceae. The record is from RNAcentral. RNAcentral also lists the same sequence under 1 other name.